GAGAGAAAGUAUGUGAAGAGCUUAAUCCGCAGCGGGUCUAUCUGUGCGCGUGUGUGCGCAGAGCCUGGCCUCCCAGGGCCGGUCACCCCUGCGGCUCAGGGCUCUGUGUGUGUGUGUGUGCACUUGUGUGUGCACGUGCGUGUGCACGCCUGAGACCGUGGUGGGCGUGGAGUCCAGACAUGGCGGGGCUGCCUUCAGGGCGAGUCCUGGUCUCAGCGGGCGCUGCGGUGGGCUGUCCAGACACCUGAGAAAAGCUCGGCUCGCUAGAUCGCUAGAACGCCCGCCCCCCAGGCCACCUGCCCCGGCUCCAGGAGGGGCCGCCCCUUCCUUCCUCCUGGGGAUGCGGAGAACAACACAGCCACCCAGGAAACACGUGUGCGCUGGGCCAUGGGGGCGGCGGAGGUGCUUGGAGCGGGUGGUCGACGCACUUUUUCUAGAUCCAGCCCCAGAAGGAACGGGGGCCGCCCUUCCGGGCUCUGCAUGUGACAAUUGCCAAGGCCCCGAGGUGGCCAGGAGUCUGUGCGGGUUCCAAAAGCGAGAAGUCUGAAAUUGGUACCACUGAGCUGAAAUCAAGGCGUCGGCAGGGCUGAGCUCCCUCCAGAGGCCCUCGGGGGGGGGAAUCCGUUCCUUGCUUCGUCCAGCUGCUCGAGGUUGCCUGCGUUCCUUGGCUCGUGGCCCCUUCCUCCAUCUUCACAGCCAGCACGUAGCAUCUCGCCUCAGUGAUCACGUAGCCAUCUCCUCUUCUCUCCUCUCUGUGUCAAGUCCCCCACUGCCUUCCUCUGACAAGGACACUUGUGACUGUGUUUGGGGUGCAUCCGGAUAAUCCAACACAACAAGAUCCUUCCAUUAAUCACAUGUGCAGAGUCUCUUUAGUAACAUUCACAGGUCCAGGGAUGAAGAUGUGGAUAUCUUUGGGGGUCUGUAUUCAGCCCACCACAUGCACCACUUACUAGCUGUGUGUCUUGGGCAAAUUCCCUCACCUCUCUGUGCCUCAGUUUCCUCAUUUUCAGCAAAGACAUAUUUUAGUACCUACAUUAUAAGCUGUGAAGAUUAAGUAUAGAGUGCUGAGCAGAGGGCUGGGCACACAGUAG
Molecule: long non-coding RNA, 1091 nt
Filed under: Equus caballus (horse)
Lineage: Eukaryota; Metazoa; Chordata; Mammalia; Perissodactyla; Equidae
Description: lncRNA (ENSECAG00000032651.3)
Source: RNAcentral